ACCCGGGGAGGGUCAUUUGGAAAACUGGGGAAACUUUGAGUGCAGAAAGAGGAGAGUUGGAAAUUCCACGUGUAGCGGUGAAAUUGCGUAGAGAUGUGGAGGAACACCAGUGGCGAAGGCGACUCUCUGGUCUGUAACUGACGCUGAGGAGCGAAAGCGUGGGGAGCGAACAGGAUUAGAUACCCUGGUAGUCCACGCCGUAAACGAUGAGUGCUAAGUGUUAGGGGGUUUCCGCCCCUUAGUGCUGCAGCUAACGCAUUAAGCACUCCGCCUGGGGAGUACGGUCGCAAGACUGAAACUCAAAGGAAUUGACGGGGGCCCGCACAAGCGGUGGAGCAUGUGGUUUAAUUCGAAGCAACGCGAAGAACCUUACCAGGUCUUGACAUCCUCUGACAAUCCUAGAGAUAGGACGUCCCCUUCGGGGGCAGAGUGACAGGUGGUGCAUGGUUGUCGUCAGCUCGUGUCGUGAGAUGUUGGGUUAAGUCCCGCAACGAGCGCAACCCUUGAUCUUAGUUGCCAGCAUUCAGUUGGGCACUCUAAGGUGACUGCCGGUGACAAACCGGAGGAAGGUGGGGAUGACGUCAAAUCAUCAUGCCCCUUAUGACCUGGGCUACACACGUGCUACAAUGGAC
This 632-nucleotide ribosomal RNA is filed under the name Bacillus mojavensis. RNAcentral describes it as "bacterial SSU rRNA". It matches the Rfam family "Bacterial small subunit ribosomal RNA", at positions 611 to 1235 of the family's 1533-position model. The record is from RNAcentral. Lineage: Bacteria; Bacillati; Bacillota; Bacilli; Caryophanales; Bacillaceae.